UAGCUCAGUUGGUAGAGCUUGGUGCUUGCAACUCCAGGACAGUGGGUUCAAUUCCCAG
Molecule: transfer RNA, 58 nt
Filed under: Salmo salar (Atlantic salmon)
Lineage: Eukaryota; Metazoa; Chordata; Actinopteri; Salmoniformes; Salmonidae
Rfam family: tRNA
About the family: Transfer RNA (tRNA) molecules are approximately 80 nucleotides in length. Their secondary structure includes four short double-helical elements and three loops (D, anti-codon, and T loops).
Source: Rfam by way of RNAcentral